This 460-nucleotide ribosomal RNA is filed under the name uncultured bacterium. Its description in RNAcentral is "partial 16S ribosomal RNA". It matches the Rfam family "Bacterial small subunit ribosomal RNA", at positions 338 to 795 of the family's 1533-position model. The record is from RNAcentral.
CCUACGGGAGGCAGCAGUGAGGAAUAUUGGUCAAUGGGCGGAAGCCUGAACCAGCCAAGUAGCGUGAAGGAUGACUGCCCUACGGGUUGUAAACUGCUUUUAUACGGGAAUAAAAUGCUCCACGUGUGGGAUUCUGUAGGUACCAUAUGAAUAAGGACCGGCUAACUCCGUGCCAGCAGCCGCGGUAAUACGGAGGAUCCGAGCGUUAUCCGGAUUUAUUGGGGUUAAAGGGAGCGUAGGUGGGUGGUUAAGUCAGUUGUGAAAGUUGGCGGCUCAACCGUAAAAUUGCAGUUGAAACUGGACGUCUUGAGUACAGUAGAGGUAGGCGGAAUUCGUGGUGUAGCGGUGAAAUGCUUAGAUAUCACGAAGAACUCCGAUUGCGAAGGCAGCUUGCUGGACUGCGACUGACGCUGAGGCUCGAAAGUGUGGGUAUCAAACAGGAUUAGAUACCCUUGUAGUC